This 499-nucleotide ribosomal RNA is filed under the name uncultured Glomeromycotina. RNAcentral describes it as "partial small subunit ribosomal RNA". It matches the Rfam family "Eukaryotic small subunit ribosomal RNA", at positions 591 to 1092 of the family's 1831-position model. The record is from RNAcentral. Lineage: Eukaryota; Fungi; Glomeromycota.
CCAAUAGCGUAUAUUAAAGUUGUUGCAGUUAAAAAGCUCGUAGUUGAAUUUUUGGUCUGACAAAUUGGUCCAUUCAAAUUGGAUGAGUACUGAUUUUGUUGGGCCUAAUUCUUAGUGAGACUAGAUGUCCUUUAUUGGAUGUUUAGGGUAGCUAAGACGUUUACCUUGGAAAAAUUAGAGUGUUUAAAGCAGGCAUAUGCCGGAAUAGAUUAGCAUGGAAUAAUAGAAUAGGACGAAUGGACCUAUUUUGUUGGUUUCUAGGACCAUCGUAAUGAUUAAUAGGGAUAGUUGGGGGCAUUAGUAUUCAAUUGUCAGAGGUGAAAUUCUUGGAUUUAUUGAAGACUAACUAUUGCGAAAGCAUUUGCCAAGGAUGUUUUCAUUAAUCAAGAACGAAAGUUAGGGGAUCGAAGACGAUCAGAUACCGUCGUAGUCUUAACCAUAAACUAUGCCGACUAGGGAUCGGGCGAUGUUGUUUUAAUGACACGCUCGGCACCUUAUG